Molecule: long non-coding RNA, 1018 nt
Organism: Phyllostomus discolor (pale spear-nosed bat)
Lineage: Eukaryota; Metazoa; Chordata; Mammalia; Chiroptera; Phyllostomidae
Exons: 2
Source: RefSeq, a predicted model, not a curated record
ACAGGUGGGAGAGAUUCUCCCCAGCGCAACCCUCACUUAAUUUUCCAACCUCUGUCCCUGGCAGCUCAAAGGGACUUCCUUUCCUGGAAGUUCCAGAAUCUAAAGUCGCCAGCCCCCAGGUCCAGAAUACGCCCGGCUGUCACAAACAAGAGAGACGGGAACUGGUGUGAUUGGUACCACAUUGUCUACGCUCCCUGUCAUCCUUCACCAAAUUAGAUAGGCUCAUUGUUGAAGCCCUACUAAGGAAGACCUAAACAUGUCACACUAGAAUAGUUUGUGUGUUUUCCAAAAUUUUUCUGAAAACAGAAACUAUGGAAUACAAGGAAUCUCUUGAAUUCCUGAGUAGCCCAAACCCUGCUUGCUACCUAGCUCCCCAGACCCCCAUACCUCAUGCCUCCUCCCCACCCACAGACAUAUAUGCAUGACUCUGCAUCCCUGUCCCAUGUGUUUGGGGAGAAAGCAAGAUCAGGGGACCAGCCUGGCACUGGCAGAGUCCAUGUCACACACAACACUGCUGUGCCAUAUGGAGCCACCUGGGGCCCUGCCGUGCCUCUCACCAGACCAGCACUAGGUGGCCUUGGGACAGUCACCCAACCCCUCAGAAUCCCUGAUUCUUUAUUUUCCAAUUCAGUUUGGAAGACUUUUUACUAUAGAGUUUUCUGACCUAUCUAAAAAUAAAUAGACUAAUAGCGAAGUGGAUCCCUAGGUACUUAUCACUCAGCUUCAACAGUUAAUAUUUUGCCAAUGUGUCAGCUAAUCCCGUGUCAGUUUUUUUUUUUGCUAGCAUGUAAUAAAGUAAAUACUAGAUGUUAUGUCAUCUCACCCACUAAAUAUAAUAACCUCUUUUUUUAAGAAGACAAUAUUUUAGAGCAGUUUUAGGUUUAUAACAGAACAGAGAGAGGUACGGAGACUUCCCAUACACCCCCUGCCCCAACACACGUGCAGUCUCCCCCUUAUCAAUAUCAUUCAUCAGAACAAUUCCUUUUUUUUUUUUUUGCCAAGGAUCAAUCUACAUUUA